ACUGCCCGUUCCGGUUUCCCUCAUGGAUACCAAUGACGCGACAACAACAAAAAUCUGAUUGGUGUGAGAAAACAGUCACGUGGUACACUAGUUCCACAACGUCACUGCUGGUGGACCCAGCUGAGCUGUUUGAGGCUGCAGCUAUUCGUUUUCGAUCUGUGCCUGCACUGUCCGACGUUUCUUUCUUGCAUUCCACCGAUUGCUGUCAGUUUGUUGGAUUUUGCGGUUACAACAUGUCUUCGGAGAUACAACCCUACAUUUACGACCCUGAAUCGGACGAGGACGAAGAUUGUGUCGAGCAACAACCACUCGUCAUUUGUACAUGACCGUAUCCCAAUGGUGCACCUGGAACUGAGAAGAAAUGCCAAACAGAAGAGGAACAUGUCUGCUGACAGGAGAUUUCCCAGGUUAUCUUGUCAAGGCGUUGCAAGCAUCUGGCAUACAGAUGUUUCGAAUGUUCGUGCUGGGGCUACUUAGGAAGGAAAGUUCAGUGGUCAUCACAUCCAUCCUGUGUUGUCC
Molecule: long non-coding RNA, 519 nt
Organism: Engraulis encrasicolus (European anchovy)
Lineage: Eukaryota; Metazoa; Chordata; Actinopteri; Clupeiformes; Engraulidae
Exons: 3
Source: RefSeq, a predicted model, not a curated record